Non-coding RNA from Phrynosoma platyrhinos (Desert horned lizard), 72 nucleotides. Lineage: Eukaryota; Metazoa; Chordata; Lepidosauria; Squamata; Phrynosomatidae. The record is from the annotation of a GenBank genome assembly.
GCCAGCGUGGCAUAGUGGUUUGAGUGUUGAACUAUGACUCUGGAAACCAGAGUUCAAUCCUCAGCUGGGCCA